CUCAAAGGAAUUGACGGGGGCCCGCACAAGCGGGGGAGCAUGUGGUUUAAUUCGAUGCAACGCGAAAAACCUUACCUACUCUUGACAUCCUUGGAAGCUCAUCGCAGGGUGAGUGUGCCUUCGGGAACCAAGUGACAGGUGCUGCAUGGCUGUCGUCAGCUCGUGUCGUGAGAUGUUGGGUUAAGUCCCUUAACGAGCGCAACCCCUAUCUUUAGUUGCCAGCGAGUCAAGUCGGGGAAUCUAAAGAGACUGCCGGUGUUAAACCGGAGGAAGGCGGGGACGAUGUCAAGUCAUCAUGGCCCUUACGAGUAGGGCUACACACGUGCUACAAUGGACGGUACAAAGGGCUGCGAAGUCGCGAGAUGGAGCUAAUCCCAAAAAGCCGUUCUCAGUCCGGAUCGGAGUCUGCAACUCGACUCCGUGAAGUCGGAAUCGCUAGUAAUCGCGAAUCAGCAUGUCGCGGUGAAUACGUUCCCGGGCCUUGUACACACUGCCCGUCACGCCAUGGGAGUGGGUUUUACCAGAAGCAGGUAGACUAACCGAAAGGAGGUCGCUUACCACGGUAGGAUUCAUGACUGGGCGAAGUCGUACAAGGUAGCCGUAGGGGAACCUGUGGCUGGAUCACCUCCUUAACG
Molecule: ribosomal RNA, 635 nt
Filed under: uncultured bacterium
Lineage: Bacteria
Description: bacterial SSU rRNA
Rfam family: Bacterial small subunit ribosomal RNA
Source: RNAcentral